This 632-nucleotide ribosomal RNA is filed under the name Vibrio sp. UST991130-033. RNAcentral's name for it is "bacterial SSU rRNA". It matches the Rfam family "Bacterial small subunit ribosomal RNA", at positions 373 to 998 of the family's 1533-position model. The record is from RNAcentral. Lineage: Bacteria; Pseudomonadati; Pseudomonadota; Gammaproteobacteria; Vibrionales; Vibrionaceae.
GNGCGCAGCCUGAUGCAGCCUGCCGCGUGUAUGAAGAAGGCCUUCGGGUUGUAAAGUACUUUCAGCAGUGAGGAAGGCAGGNNCGUUAAUAGCGNGCUUGUUUGACGUUAGCUGCAGAAGAAGCACCGGCUAACUCCGUGCCAGCAGCCGCGGUAAUACGGAGGGUGCUGAGCGUUAAUCGGAAUUACUGGGCGUAAAGCGCAUGCAGGUGGUUUGUUAAGUCAGAUGUGAAAGCCCGGGGCUCAACCUCGGAAUUGCAUUUGAAACUGGCAGACUAGAGUACUGUAGAGGGGGGUAGAAUUUCAGGUGUAGCGGUGAAAUGCGUAGAGAUCUGAAGGAAUACCGGUGGCGAAGGCGGCCCCCUGGACAGAUACUGACACUCAGAUGCGAAAGCGUGGGGAGCAAACAGGAUUAGAUACCCUGGUAGUCCACGCCGUAAACGAUGUCUACUUGGAGGUUGUGGCCUUGAGCCGUGGCUUUCGGAGCUAACGCGUUAAGUAGACCGCCUGGGGAGUACGGUCGCAAGAUUAAAACUCAAAUGAAUUGACGGGGGCCCGCACAAGCGGUGGAGCAUGUGGUUUAAUUCGAUGCAACGCGAAGAACCUUACCUACUCUUGACAUCCAGAGAACUU